GCCGAAGUGGUGGAACUUGGUAGACACGCCAUCUUGAGGGGGUGGUGGGGCGACCCGUGCCGGUUCGAGUCCGGCCUUCGGCACCA
This 86-nucleotide transfer RNA is filed under the name Desulfoglaeba alkanexedens ALDC. RNAcentral's name for it is "tRNA-Leu". It matches the Rfam family "tRNA". From Rfam's summary of the family: Transfer RNA (tRNA) molecules are approximately 80 nucleotides in length. Their secondary structure includes four short double-helical elements and three loops (D, anti-codon, and T loops). Further hydrogen bonds mediate the characteristic L-shaped molecular structure. tRNAs have two regions of fundamental functional importance: the anti-codon, which is responsible for specific mRNA codon recognition, and the 3' end, to which the tRNAs corresponding amino acid is attached (by aminoacyl-tRNA synthetases). tRNAs cope with the degeneracy of the genetic code in two manners: having more than one tRNA (with a specific anti-codon) for a particular amino acid; and 'wobble' base-pairing, i.e. permitting non-standard base-pairing at the 3rd anti-codon position. RNAcentral also lists the same sequence under 6 other names. The record is from RNAcentral. Lineage: Bacteria; Pseudomonadati; Thermodesulfobacteriota; Syntrophobacteria; Syntrophobacterales; Syntrophobacteraceae.